UCCUCAAUAACUCAGUGGUAGAGCGGUCAACUAUUAACUGAUUGGUCGUAGGUUCGAAUCCUAUUUUGGGAG
Picea glauca (white spruce) is the source of this 72-nucleotide non-coding RNA. Lineage: Eukaryota; Viridiplantae; Streptophyta; Pinopsida; Pinales; Pinaceae. The record is from Rfam.